Molecule: long non-coding RNA, 885 nt
Filed under: Pan troglodytes (chimpanzee)
Lineage: Eukaryota; Metazoa; Chordata; Mammalia; Primates; Hominidae
Description: lincRNA
Source: RNAcentral
CGAGACGCCCGGUGACUUCUGCUGGCACCUGCUGCCCUCGGCAUCACCUCCCUCAUCCCCCUGGAGGGCACGCUGGAAAGCUGCAACUCCCCACCCUCCGCACAGGAGCGCCCCGUAGACGCGCAGAUGGGCCCAGCCACCCAGCGGGGCGGCAGCCCCGAACACACAAGUUUGGAGAGCGCGCGAGGCACCUGAAAGUGGUUGGGGUUUGGAAGCAAAAGGGUGACACCUGCUGUUCGCUGGGACCGCUGUGCGGGUGUGGGCGUCGGUUUGGAAACGUCCUUUGCCUGAGCUCUGCUUGAACCUGGGUGCCAGAGACUACCUGGGACAGCUCUACUGACGUCAUCAGCACAUGAUUCUGGCCUCAUUAACUCUAAUUUGGGAAAAGUGCUUCUGGAGGAAAGGGAAGAAAUUCUAAGGCUGUGUGCCCCAUUCUUAUUACUCUAUCUCAGUGGGUCUCAAUCCCGGCUACACAUUGGAAUCACUUGGAAAGCUUUAAAAAUAAAACCAAACCUGUGCUUGGGCUCCACCUAGGUGUUCACCACAGCUGUCAGUAUAAAUCAAUGCGUCUUGGUUCCAUUCUUCAUCAUUUGCUGGUAGCUAAAUUAUGGUAAAUUAAGCUAAGGACAUUUUAAAAUCCUGUUUAAUUUGUCCACAUGCUAAAUAUCCCAGCACACGAGAGAAAAAGCAGCAUGUACUUGGAUAAGACAAACCUAGGGCUUCCUUCGAGUUAAGGAACAGUCUUGGAAGUCUUGUUAUAGUUAAUGUUUUUUUGAGUGGAUGAGCAAAUGAAUGAAUAUACAAAUGGUUAUGCACACAAUUAAGCAAACUGCUUGAUCACAUUCCUCCUUUUGGUUUUGCUUCCUCUACCUGUCAGUUGUCCUG